RNAcentral lists this ribosomal RNA (627 nucleotides) under uncultured soil bacterium. RNAcentral describes it as "bacterial SSU rRNA". It matches the Rfam family "Bacterial small subunit ribosomal RNA", at positions 36 to 708 of the family's 1533-position model. The record is from RNAcentral.
CUGGCGGCAGGCUUACACAUGCAAGUCGAACGGGCGUGGCAAUACGUCAGUGGCASACGGGUGAGUAACGCGUGGGAACGUACCUUUUGGUUCGGAACAACACAGGGAAACUUGUGCUAAUACCGGAUAAGCCCUUACGGGGAAAGAUUUAUCGCCGAAAGAUCGGCCCGCGUCUGAUUAGCUAGUUGGUGAGGUAACGGCUCACCAAGGCGACGAUCAGUAGCUGGUCUGAGAGGAUGAUCAGCCACAUUGGGACUGAGACACGGCCCAAACUCCUACGGGAGGCAGCAGUGGGGAAUAUUGGACAAUGGGCGAAAGCCUGAUCCAGCCAUGCCGCGUGAGUGAUGAAGGCCCUAGGGUUGUAAAGCUCUUUUGUGCGGGAAGAUAAUGACGGUACCGCAAGAAUAAGCCCCGGCUAACUUCGUGCCAGCAGCCGCGGUAAUACGAAGGGGGCUAGCGUUGCUCGGAAUCACUGGGCGUAAAGGGUGCGUAGGCGGGUCUUUAAGUCAGGGGUGAAAUCCUGGAGCUCAACUCCAGAACUGCCUUUGAUACUGAAGAUCUUGAGUUCGGGAGAGGUGAGUGGAACUGCGAGUGUAGAGGUGAAAUUCGUAGAUAUUCGCAAGAACA